This 468-nucleotide ribosomal RNA is filed under the name uncultured bacterium. RNAcentral describes it as "partial 16S ribosomal RNA". It matches the Rfam family "Bacterial small subunit ribosomal RNA", at positions 28 to 507 of the family's 1533-position model. The record is from RNAcentral.
GACGAACGCUGGCGGUGUGCUUAACAUAUGCAAGUCGAACGGAAAGGCCCUGCUUUUGUGGGGUGCUCGAGUGGCGAACGGGUGAGUAACACGUGAGUAACCUGCCCUUGACUUUGGGAUAACUUCAGGAAACUGGGGCUAAUACCGGAUAGGAGCUCCUGCUGCAUGGUGGGGGUUGGAAAGUUUCGGCGGUUGGGGAUGGACUCGCGGCUUAUCAGCUUGUUGGUGGGGUAGUGGCUUACCAAGGCUUUGACGGGUAGCCGGCCUGAGAGGGUGACCGGCCACAUUGGGACUGAGAUACGGCCCAGACUCCUACGGGAGGCAGCAGUGGGGAAUAUUGCACAAUGGGCGGAAGCCUGAUGCAGCAACGCCGCGUGCGGGAUGAUGGCCUUCGGGUUGUAAACCGCUUUCGCCUGUGACGAAGCGUGAGUGACGGUAAUGGGUAAAGAAGCACCGGCUAACUACGUG